RNAcentral lists this long non-coding RNA (648 nucleotides) under Monodelphis domestica (gray short-tailed opossum). RNAcentral describes it as "lncRNA (ENSMODG00000034767.2)". Lineage: Eukaryota; Metazoa; Chordata; Mammalia; Didelphimorphia; Didelphidae. The record is from RNAcentral.
CUGGGGUUCAAUUCUCCAUUUUUACAUUUCCCUGUGUGAUCUUUUGGGAAGAAGGACUUCCCCAAAGGAUCAUGAAAACAUAAUCAAUUUAAAGAUUACAAUAAUUUGAGGAUAAGAAAAAAAAGAACAAAACCAAUAAUUGCUGGAUGCAUUGACAAAAAACCAGUUAGGGGGCAGUCCCCUUUGGCAUGAAAGUAUACAUACAAAUAACUGUUCAAUCAAUCACACCCAAAGUUCAUUCUUGAUCUUCUUGUGCAGCUUGUGGUCUGGAGGCUUCUUCACGGUGUCUUCUCCAACAGUUCAGUUUCUGGAUUCAAAGAGGUGGAGAGCCGCGUCUCCUUGGAAGCAGAAGUAGGAAGAGAGUCGCAAUCUUUGCUCACAUCAGAUGUCUAUGUAACUUCUGGAAAUUCUUAUAAAGUUUCAAAUUUUUUCAUACCUAUUUAUCUUACAUGUGAUCUGUAAUUAAUUAUUUUGGAUGCUAUGAUUGUAAUUGUUUUGGGGCACCCAGAUAGAUAAAGAACUUAAAUAAUAAUUGUGGGAAUUCUGAUUGCUCUACCUUCUAGCCAUUCCCCCAUCUCCUUUUUCCUUUCACUUCCCCAUUCCUUGAAACACAAUAAAAUAAAUUAAUAACACUAUAAUUAAUUGCCU